UGUGGGAGCUGGCUUGCCUGCGAUGCAGGCGCCUCGGUCUCUCAGUUAAACCCGGUUAAUGCCAUCGCAGGCAGGCCAGCUCCCACA
Molecule: non-coding RNA, 87 nt
Filed under: Pseudomonas tolaasii NCPPB 2192
Lineage: Bacteria; Pseudomonadati; Pseudomonadota; Gammaproteobacteria; Pseudomonadales; Pseudomonadaceae
Source: RNAcentral